This 428-nucleotide ribosomal RNA is filed under the name uncultured archaeon. Its description in RNAcentral is "bacterial SSU rRNA". It matches the Rfam family "Archaeal small subunit ribosomal RNA", at positions 474 to 903 of the family's 1478-position model. The record is from RNAcentral.
UACCAGCUCUCCGAGUGGUAGGGAUGAUUAUUUGGCCUAAAGCGUCCGUAGCCGGCCGGGUAAGUCUCCCGUUAAAUCCAGCGUCUCAAGCGUUGGACUGCGGGAGAUACUGUCUGGCUAGAGAGUGGGAAAGGCGUACGGUAUUCUGGGGGUAGGGGCGAAAUCCUUUGAUCCCCGGAGGACCACCAGUGGCGAAGGCUGUACACUAGAACACGUCUGACGGUCAGGGACGAAAGCUGGGGUAGCGAACCGGAUUAGAUACCCGGGUAGUCCCAGCCGUAAACGAUGCACGCUAGGUGUUGGGGCGGCCACGAGCCGCCCCAGUGCCGCAGGGAAGCCGUUAAGCGUGCCGCCUGGGGAGUACGGCCGCAAGGCUGAAACUUAAAGGAAUUGGCGGGGAGCACCACCAGGCGUGAAGCCUGCGGUUU